Molecule: long non-coding RNA, 706 nt
Organism: Sinocyclocheilus anshuiensis
Lineage: Eukaryota; Metazoa; Chordata; Actinopteri; Cypriniformes; Cyprinidae
Exons: 3
Source: RefSeq, a predicted model, not a curated record
ACUCAUUUCAACUAAAUCUGUCGCUUCAUUGUUUCUGGAGGAGCCGGACUGUGAAUCUCUGAGAGGAAGAGGAGGAGGAGGAGGAGGAGGAGGAGAGCGUCGAUGACAUCAACGAGCGCAAGAGUCUCCGGAGGCUUCUGGAAAUGGAGGAUUCUGCCUGAUCACGGAACAUGAUGCUCGAGUCUCCCGAACGACUUCAGCCGCAGCUUCGCGCAGGAAUACUGGCUCAGACCGCUGAGGAUUAUGAAAACCAGGACAUGAAGCUCAAACACAUCUAGAAAAAAAGAGAAACGAGUGCGUGUGUCUGGAGUCAGUCGUCGAGGGUCAUGGCUGUCUGGGGCAGGGGUCCUCUCCGCUCCUCGCUGCUGCUGCUCGUCUUCAUCUUCCUGCAGAUCUCCUGUGAAGCCUUGUGUAGGUCUCCAUGCGCUCUAACACGCUGUUGUUGGUAUGGUAACAAUGCAGGUCCUUUGUGAUGGGAUGUCGUCAUGGAAACUAAGCAGAGGCUGAUGCUAUUUUACUGCAAUGAAUUAUUAAAACAGAAAGAUUCGUGUCUGCUGGAUGCUGGAAUGAAUGUGAAUUCUCUCUCUCUCUCACAAAAAAACGCUGAAGAAUAAAGAAAGAGCAGCUGUAAUACAAUCAGUGUGACUGAGGAGGCCAUUUUAUAUGAUGUCACCAAAGAUUCAUUCAAAUGUUUUACAUGGAAUCA